CAUGAGUUUAUUUCUGCAGUUGAGAUUGCUCAUUUUCAUCACUGUCUUCGCGCAAAUCAUGCUCAUCAUCACCAACAUUGUCAUCCUCAUCUGAUUCAGGUCCACUAGCAUCAUCAUGGGCAUGAUCAGGCACACUACCAUGACCAAUAAUCCCGCUAACUCUUCCGGACUUGUUUGCAUAUUCUUCAAGGGAAGUUGAGGGAAACACAUCACCAACCUUGCUGCUAUC
This 229-nucleotide long non-coding RNA is filed under the name Arabidopsis thaliana (thale cress). RNAcentral's name for it is "long non-coding RNA (ATHA_LNC000062)". Lineage: Eukaryota; Viridiplantae; Streptophyta; Magnoliopsida; Brassicales; Brassicaceae. The record is from RNAcentral.